Molecule: ribosomal RNA, 433 nt
Filed under: uncultured bacterium
Lineage: Bacteria
Description: bacterial SSU rRNA
Rfam family: Bacterial small subunit ribosomal RNA
Source: RNAcentral
AUUGAACGCUGGCGGCAUGCCUUACACAUGCAAGUCGAACGGCAGCACGGGAGCAAUCCUGGUGGCGAGUGGCGAACGGGUGAGUAAUAUAUCGGAACGUGCCCGGUCGUGGGGAUAACGUAGCGAAAGCUACGCUAAUACCGCAUACGAUCUACGGAUGAAAGCGGGGGGAUCGCAAGACCUCGCGCGAUUGGAGCGGCCGAUAUCAGAUUAGGUAGUUGGUGAGGUAAAGGCUCACCAAGCCGACGAUCUGUAGCUGGUCUGAGAGGACGACCAGCCACACUGGGACUGAGACACGGCCCAGACUCCUACGGGAGGCAGCAGUGGGGAAUUUUGGACAAUGGGCGCAAGCCUGAUCCAGCAAUGCCGCGUGCAGGAUGAAGGCCUUGGUUGGUAAACUGCUUUGUUACGGAACGAAACGGUAGAGCUCUAA